GACGAACGCUGGCGGCGUGCUUAACACAUGCAAGUCGAACGGAAAGGCCCUGCUUUUGUGGGGUGCUCGAGUGGCGAACGGGUGAGUAACACGUGAGUAACCUGCCCUUGACUUUGGGAUAACUUCAGGAAACUGGGGCUAAUACCGGAUAGGAGCUCCUGCUGCAUGGUGGGGGUUGGAAAGUUUCGGCGGUUGGGGAUGGACUCGCGGCGUAUCAGCUUGUUGGUGGGGUAGUGGCUUACCAAGGCUUUGACGGGUAGCCGGCCUGAGAGGGGGAGCGGCCAAGUUGGGACGGAGAUGAGGCCCAGACUCCUACGGGAGGCAGCGGUGGGGAAUAGUACACAAUGGGCGGAAGCCUGAUGCAGCAACGCCGCGUGCGGGAUGACGGCCUGCGGGUUGUAAACCACUUUCGCCUGUGACGAAGCGUGAGUGACGGUAAUGGGUAAAGAAGCACCGGCUAACUACGUG
RNAcentral lists this ribosomal RNA (468 nucleotides) under uncultured bacterium. RNAcentral's name for it is "partial 16S ribosomal RNA". It matches the Rfam family "Bacterial small subunit ribosomal RNA", at positions 28 to 507 of the family's 1533-position model. The record is from RNAcentral.